This 496-nucleotide ribosomal RNA is filed under the name uncultured bacterium. RNAcentral's name for it is "partial 16S ribosomal RNA". It matches the Rfam family "Bacterial small subunit ribosomal RNA", at positions 29 to 507 of the family's 1533-position model. The record is from RNAcentral.
AUGAACGCUGGCGGCGUGCCUAAUACAUGCAAGUCGAGCGAACGGACGAGAAGCUUGCUUCUCUGAUGUUAGCGGCGGACGGGUGAGUAACACGUGGAUAACCUACCUAUAAGACUGGGAUAACUUCGGGAAACCGUAGCUAAUACCGGAUAAUAUUUUGAACCGCAUGGUUCAAAAGUGAAAGACGGUCUUGCUGUCACUUAUAGAUGGAUCCGCGCUGCAUUAGCUAGUUGGUAAGGUAACGGCUUACCAAGGCAACGAUGCAUAGCCGACCUGAGAGGGUGAUCGGCCACACUGGAACUGAGACACGGUCCAGACUCCUACGGGAGGCAGCAGUAGGGAAUCUUCCGCAAUGGGCGAAAGCCUGACAGAGCAACGCCGCGUGAGUGAUGAAGGUCUUCGGAUCGUAAAACUCUGUUAUUAGGGAAGAACAUAUGUGUAAGUAACUGUGCACAUCUUGACGGUACCUAAUCAGAAAGCCACGGCUAACUACGUG